Molecule: ribosomal RNA, 384 nt
Filed under: uncultured eukaryote
Lineage: Eukaryota
Description: partial 18S ribosomal RNA
Rfam family: Eukaryotic small subunit ribosomal RNA
Source: RNAcentral
CAAUAGCGUAUAUUAAAGUUGUUGCGGUUAAAAAGCUCGUAGUUGGAUUUCGGCGGACAGGGGGCGGUUCGAUAUUUGUCGCUACUGCCCCAUUUGUCCGUGUUUUUGGCGGAGGUUUCGGGGUGCUCUUCGUUGAGUGACCCGGGGCGCCGUCAGGUUUACUUUGAAAAAAUUAGAGUGCUCAAAGCAGGCUUUUCACGCUUGAAUAUUCGUGCAUGGAAUAAUGGAAUAGGAACUCGUUUCUAUUUUGUUGGUUUUCGGAAAUCGAGUUAAUGAUUAAUAGGGACAAUUGGGGGCAUUAGUAUUCAGACGACAGAGGUGAAAUUCUUGGACCGUCUGAAGACUAACUACUGCGAAAGCAUUUGCCAAGAGUGUUUUCAUUAA